GUUUUAGUUCCCCUCCAAUGGAAGCAAUCAUAUCCAUAUCCCUGCCUUGAGUGUGGACGGCCUGUCUACUCCUGUAGUGCUGUCGCCAGGCCCACAGAAACCAUGAGGAGAGUCCUGGAGUCCUUCCACAGUCCUGUGGACAUUGAUUCCCCAGUUCAGCCUAUGGGACAGAAGAUGGCACAUGACCCACUGGGCACAGACGUCAGUUCAAUGUCUAGUUUCGAUUUACAUUUGGUUGAGUUGUCAACUAAUGUGAAUUCAACAACAACAAAAAAUCACCAUGUCAUUGGAUGUUGGUUCAAAUAAAAAAUUAAAUGCCCUUUGACCUUUUGCAAAUCCAAUCAGUUUUUCACGUUGUUUCGACGUCCUCACAAUGACGUGGAAACAAUGUUGAUUCAACCAGUUUUUGCCCAGUGAGGAGGAGGUUGUUCAUCAUGUGCUUGUCUUUAACAUACUGGCCCUCUUUGUCCCAGUUCCAUAGUCUACACAUUUUAGCAUGUUGCUGUCUCAACUCUCCUGAAAACUGUUCAGAAAUCAGUUAUUAAUGCGAAGCAAGUUUAGCUGAACUAAUAAACUAUGAUAUCCAUCAAAUGUGAAAUGGAUAUAAACGCACCAGGCCAUUCUGAACCCUCUUCAGACUGUUAAUAAUAUACAGCAUGUAUGAAUUUGAUCAUUCUUUUUUGACUACCAUGCAAAUGAAUUAGCCAAAGCCUUAAAGUUAAGUUUUCAGACAAAUGGAGAUGAGGAACAUUUGGGUGUUAGGUAUCCAUUUAUGCAAGUGAGGGAUUUUUUGAAACGGGUGAGAUGGAUAUUGUGAAGAAAAGCCAUUUAUUGGAACAUAUUUUCACCUACCAGAAGUGGGGAAAAUUAUGAGCAUCUUGAGUUGCUUAGAAGUUCGAUAAACUUCAGUAUUUAAGUUCACCACUUCUUUCACCAGCAAAAGAUGUAUUGAUUGUCUUUUUUCAGAGGAGGGAUAUUUUACUCUGCUCAUGAGCGCUAUAGUCUGAAUGCCACACAGACAGACCCACAUUGUCUAUCAUCUCAUUGUAACUUAAAUGCUACAUACAGUACAUUUGUGUUUUUCGGUUGUAUGAAAAAUGCAGUUGUGUUUCCAAACGUUCUGUGGCUCUCAACUCUGACCAGAGAUUUGAGCUGCUUUUUGUUGUCUCUUUUUGAACGUUUCUGAAACACUAUGGGAUCUACAACCUUGACAUGUACUAUUGUGUGAUGGCUUUGUCAUUGUGUACAGUUUUUUAUUCAAGAAUGUUUAGGGAAACCUAAAAUACUGUAUAUAUGUUUGUGAAAAUUGUCGUAUCUCUUGCUGAAAUAAGUACCCAUUGUCUUUGAGGUAUUGGCUCUUGUUUGUUUCUGUCGCGUUUGGUUUCAGAUGCGUGUAGCCUUUUCCCUUCCCCAUGGGAGUGAUUGUCUCUGGGGGUUUAUUUACAGAGGGGAGGGUUUGCUUUUAUUUUUUUGGAAAUAUCCAAAUAUAUUAUAUUUACUGGAAGAGAGAGAGACAAACUAUUUUUUAUCUACACACUUCAAUUUGUUUGUGUAAAUGUUAUAGAUAUUAUUCUUGUUUUCUAAAAACAGAUCUAGAACUAAUAUUAGGAGUUAAUAAAAUCCUAUUUUGUUCUGUACAAGGUUUUGUUCUUCCUUUCUUUGAAAUCACGUUGAUGCUGUUUGUUUCUCUGAAGUGUAUUGCAGUUUGAAGUACACCUCAAAAGGUUUAUCUUAAAUGAUGCACAAGGCUGAAAGGUGUGUGGAGUGACAGUCAAACUAGUAUGCCAUCACUGGAACUACACUCAGCCAAACAGCAUAUGAUCAUUUCCAGCACCAUGCACGUUUCUUCUUUCUGAAAUGACAGAAACCAAUAAUGCCCCAGUUGGGAGAUAUUCUUGACACCAAAACUUUACAACAAAUGAAUAAACA
Long non-coding RNA from Oncorhynchus tshawytscha (Chinook salmon), 1929 nucleotides. NCBI's taxonomy places the organism in Eukaryota, Metazoa, Chordata, Actinopteri, Salmoniformes, Salmonidae. The record is from Ensembl.